RNAcentral lists this ribosomal RNA (554 nucleotides) under uncultured bacterium. RNAcentral's name for it is "bacterial SSU rRNA". It matches the Rfam family "Bacterial small subunit ribosomal RNA", at positions 1 to 566 of the family's 1533-position model. The record is from RNAcentral.
CUAUCGGUACUCGCGAAUGCAUCCCAAUGAUUUAAUGAUCAUGGCUCAGAAUCAACCCCUGGCGGNUACGCUUACACAUGCAAGUCGAACGAGAAAGGGGGAGCAAUCCCCUGAGUAAAGUGGCGUACGGGUGAGUAACACGUGGGUAAUCUGCCUCUGGGUGGGGAAUAACUCUGUGGAAACCGGAGCUAAUACCGCAUAAGCCCGCAAGGGGAAAGGUGAAAAUCGCCGAGAGAGAGAGCCCGCGGCUGAUUAGCUGGAUGGUGGGGUAAAGGCCUACCAUGGCUGAGAUCAGUAGCCGGCUGAGAGGGCACACGGCACACUGGCACUGAAACACGGGCCAGACUCCUACGGGAGGCAGCAGUGGGGAAAUCUUGCACAAUGGGGGAAACCCUGAUGCAGCGACGCCGCGUGAGCGAUGAAGCCCUUCGGGGUGUAAAGCUCUUUCGGCAGGGACGAUAUGACGGUACCUGAAGAAGAAGCUGCGGUAACUACGUGCCAGCAGCCGCGGUAAUACGUAGCAGGANCGUGUUCGGAGUUACUGGGCGUAAAGC